AGUGAACGCUGGCGGCAGGCCUAACACAUGCAAGUCGAGCGGCAGCGGGUUCCCGCGAGGGGAUGCCGGCGAGCGGCGGACGGGUGAGGAACACAUCGGAAUCUGCCUGGUUGUGGGGAGUAACGUAGGGAAACUUACGCUAAUACCGCAUGAGACCCUCGAGUCGACGGACGUGGGGGUGGAAAGUAGAGGGACCGUUCGG
Molecule: ribosomal RNA, 202 nt
Filed under: uncultured bacterium
Lineage: Bacteria
Description: partial 16S ribosomal RNA
Rfam family: Bacterial small subunit ribosomal RNA
Source: RNAcentral